AGAUGCCAGGGGCAAAAGGUCUGAAACCACAUGAGCUUGCUCAUAAGUGGGCGAAAGACCUUGCGCCCCGCCCCGAUAUGAGCAUAAAAGCAGGAUAAUAAUCCCGCGAUAUGUGAAUAUUGGGGCGGAUUGUUGGAGUGCACAGCACGGAACAAUCCGCAGGCAUCA
Molecule: small RNA, 168 nt
Filed under: Eubacterium sp. CAG:38
Lineage: Bacteria; Bacillati; Bacillota; Clostridia; Eubacteriales; Eubacteriaceae
Description: Clostridiales-1 RNA
Rfam family: Clostridiales-1 RNA
Source: Rfam by way of RNAcentral